CUUUGCGUGGGAAACAAGUUCACCAUGCUGUGCGUGCAUUUCUGAUUCACAGUUUCUACUGUAUGCCUUGUUAUUAUCGCCUGGCACCUGACCAUGUGACAUCUGGCCUCCUGGAUUCAACGCUCGCAUCACUUCACUGGAAUGGGCCAGAACAGCAUGCUAGAAUUUUUAGCUACUUGUAGAACAAAGCCGCUGAGUUUCAUCAGACAUUCCUAGUCAUCUCCUGGACACUAGAAUCUAAUCUGCAGACAUAAAAACAAACAAAAAAAAACAGUUCAUCCAAGAAAAAUAACAGAAUCUGUCUCUCCACUCGGUUUGAUGUGCACCCUUUAAUCCAUCGAGUGUUAUUACAGUGGGAGGAUAUCAUAAGACCUAUUCAACAGAUAGCAGGGAGUUGAGAAAGUUACAAAAACAAAAGCAGAACCUUAUGAACAUUGUCGGUUGCCCAAGAACACAAAUCACAGUCAUGGGUGUUUUUUGUGUGGGAAAACUUUGCGAGGGCAUUGUGAGUAA
Ictalurus punctatus (channel catfish) is the source of this 513-nucleotide long non-coding RNA. NCBI's taxonomy places the organism in Eukaryota, Metazoa, Chordata, Actinopteri, Siluriformes, Ictaluridae. The record is from Ensembl.